UACGUAGGGUGCGAGCGUUAAUCGGAAUUACUGGGCGUAAAGGGUGCGCAGGCGGCGUCGCAAGUCAGGCGUGAAAUCCCCGGGCUCAACCCGGGAACUGCGUCCGAUACUGGAAGGCUUGAAUCCGGGAGAGGGAUGCGGAAUUCCAGGUGUAGCGGUGAAAUGCGUAGAUAUCUGGAGGAAUACCGGUGGCGAAGGCGGCAUCCUGGACCGGCAUUGACGCUGAUGAGCGAAAGCUAGGGGAGCAAACGGG
Molecule: ribosomal RNA, 253 nt
Filed under: uncultured bacterium
Lineage: Bacteria
Description: partial 16S ribosomal RNA
Rfam family: Bacterial small subunit ribosomal RNA
Source: RNAcentral